Molecule: long non-coding RNA, 328 nt
Filed under: Lathyrus oleraceus (garden pea)
Lineage: Eukaryota; Viridiplantae; Streptophyta; Magnoliopsida; Fabales; Fabaceae
Description: Pisum sativum (pea) long non-coding RNA (PSAT_LNC012437)
Source: RNAcentral
UCGCGAAUAAAUUUUAAGAUGUCCACUUUAGUACUCGAUAAAUUAGGGAAAUUUAGAAAUAUAAUAAAACUUGCUUUAAGAUAUAAAUCCUUAAACAACAUACUAUUACAUGUAUACAUAUGUUAUGUAACAAUAGUUGGUUUUUACAAACAUAGGAAUCAUUAUUAAUCUGAGACCUUAAUGUGUCAUGUUGAAUAUCACCCGCCAUAAUCUCUAAUGAAUUUGAUAUGACUUACUCAGUGAUAUAAUUAACAAUAGUUGGUUAUUACCUACUAUUUUAUUUAUUGAAUUUGUGUUGAGAAUGAAAGAUUCCUUUACAAGAUUUAAA